RNAcentral lists this ribosomal RNA (472 nucleotides) under uncultured bacterium. RNAcentral describes it as "bacterial SSU rRNA". It matches the Rfam family "Bacterial small subunit ribosomal RNA", at positions 355 to 825 of the family's 1533-position model. The record is from RNAcentral.
UGGGGAAUUUUGGACAAUGGGCGCAAGCCUGAUCCAGCCAUGCCGCGUGAGUGAAGAAGGCCUUCGGGUUGUAAAGCUCUUUCGGCGGGGACGAAAUGGUUCGUGCCAAUACCACGGACUGAUGACGGUACCUGAAGAAGAAGCACCGGCUAACUACGUGCCAGCAGCCGCGGUAAUACGUAGGGUGCAGGCGUUAAUCGGAAUUACUGGGCGUAAAGCGUGCGCAGGCGGUUUGUUAAGACAGAUGUGAAAUCCCCGGGCUUAACCUGGGAACUGCGUUUGUAACUGGCAGACUGGAGUGUGGCAGAGGGGGGUGGAAUUCCAAGUGUAGCAGUGAAAUGCGUAGAUAUUUGGAGGAACACCGAUGGCGAAGGCAGCCCCCUGGGCUAACACUGACGCUCAUGCACGAAAGCGUGGGGAGCAAACGGGAUUAGAUACCCAAGUAGUCCCUGAGCGGGCUGGCAAGGCGCAU